UACGUAGGGUGCGAGCGUUGUUCGGAUUCAUUGGGCGUAAAGGGUGCGUAGGCGGCUUCCUAAGUUUGAUGUGAAAUCCCGGGGCUCAACCCUGGAAUUGCAUUGAAUACUGGGAGGCUAGAGUACUGGAGAGGAAACUGGAAUUUACGGUGUAGCAGUGAAAUGCGUAGAGAUCGUAAGGAAGACCAGUGGCGAAGGCGGCCCCCUGGGCCGUACCUGACGCUGAGGCGCGAAGGCUAGGGGAGCGAACGGG
This 253-nucleotide ribosomal RNA is filed under the name uncultured bacterium. RNAcentral's name for it is "partial 16S ribosomal RNA". It matches the Rfam family "Bacterial small subunit ribosomal RNA", at positions 524 to 776 of the family's 1533-position model. The record is from RNAcentral.